Molecule: ribosomal RNA, 484 nt
Filed under: uncultured bacterium
Lineage: Bacteria
Description: partial 16S ribosomal RNA
Rfam family: Bacterial small subunit ribosomal RNA
Source: RNAcentral
AUUGAACGCUGGCGGCAGGCCUAACACAUGCAAGUCGAGCGGAUGAAGGGAGCUUGCUCCUGGAUUCAGCGGCGGACGGGUGAGUAAUGCCUAGGAAUCUGCCUGGUAGUGGGUGAUAACGUCCGGAAACGGGCGCUAAUACCGCAUACGUCCUGAGGGAGAAAGUGGGGGAUCUUCGGACCUCACGCUAUCAGAUGAGCCUAGGUCGGAUUAGCUAGUUGGUGGGGUAAAGGCCUACCAAGGCGACGAUCCGUAACUGGUCUGAGAGGAUGAUCAGUCACACUGGAACUGAGACACGGUCCAGACUCCUACGGGAGGCAGCAGUGGGGAAUAUUGGACAAUGGGCGAAAGCCUGAUCCAGCCAUGCCGCGUGUGUGAAGAAGGUCUUCGGAUUGUAAAGCACUUUAAGUUGGGAGGAAGGGCAGUAAGUUAAUACCUUGCUGUCUUGACGUUACCAACAGAAUAAGCACCGGCUAACUUCGUG